RNAcentral lists this ribosomal RNA (440 nucleotides) under uncultured bacterium. RNAcentral describes it as "partial 16S ribosomal RNA". It matches the Rfam family "Bacterial small subunit ribosomal RNA", at positions 338 to 795 of the family's 1533-position model. The record is from RNAcentral.
CCUACGGGUGGCAGCAGUGGGGAAUAUUGCACAAUGGGGGAAACCCUGAUGCAGCGACGCCGCGUGGGUGAAGAAGCGCCUCGGCGCGUAAAGCCCUGUCAGCAGGGAAGAAAAUGACGGUACCUGAAGAAGCAGCCCCGGCUAACUACGUGCCAGCAGCCGCGGUAAUACGUAGGGGGCAAGCGUUAUCCGGAUUUACUGGGUGUAAAGGGGGCGCAGACGGCGAUGCAAGCCAGGAGUGAAAGCCCGGGGCCCAACCCCGGGACUGCUCGUGGAACUGCGUGGCGAGAGUGCAGGAGGGGCAGGCGGAAUUCCUGGUGUAGCGGUGAAAUGCGUAGAUAUCAGGAGGAACACCGGUGGCGAAGGCGGCCUGCUGGACUGCAACUGACGUUGAGGCCCGAAAGCGUGGGGAGCAAACAGGAUUAGAUACCCUUGUAGUC